AUGGAGACCAUCCAGCAAAGAUUUCUAUAGUAGCUAAAUCAAUCAUCGAAUCUAUGAUUUACCAGACGACUAAAGAGGAAUUGACCAUCACUACAAGGCAAGCUAUCGACCAGCUACCAAGUGGUAAAGGUUCAAACUUUCCCCGAUUGGUAACUCGAGGAUGAAGAAGAAACAAGAUUUGGUGAGAUUUGCUCAAGGGAAUGAGGCUGCUCCUCAACUAGGGCUUGUGUGUUUUGGUGGUCUGAGAGUGCUUGGAGGAUAUCAAGGGCCGGCUCUGAGAAAUGUGUGAAAGGGUCAGAAAAGAGGGUAGCUUCAAAGCCUCAAAAGAAUGAUCGUAGAUUGAGCCAUCGUCAAUAAAGAGAUCAUAUGUCGACAUCGCAGAACCCAAAUUGCUUUCUCUGUAAUCUGAAAUUGAAACCCUAAAAGGAAACAAAGAUCAAGAGAGUUAGGAAGUAUUGUUUGUAGAAGAAAGUAUUAUGCUUUUGUUUUUAAGCUUCUUAUUCAGUUGUGAAAUGGACAAAGAACACUAAC
Molecule: RNA transcript, 531 nt
Organism: Fragaria vesca subsp. vesca
Lineage: Eukaryota; Viridiplantae; Streptophyta; Magnoliopsida; Rosales; Rosaceae
Exons: 3
Source: RefSeq, a predicted model, not a curated record